UACAGAGGGGGCAAGCGUUGUUCGGAUUCAUUGGGCGUAAAGGGUGCGUAGGUGGCGCGCUAAGUCAGGUGUGAAAUUUCGGAGCUUAACUCCGAAACUGCAUUUGAUACUGGCGUGCUUGAGGACUGGAGAGGAGACUGGAAUUCAUGGUGUAGCAGUGAAAUGCGUAGAGAUCAUGAGGAAGACCAGUGGCGAAGGCGGGUCUCUGGACAGUUCCUGACACUGAGGCACGAAGGCCAGGGGAGCAAACAGG
RNAcentral lists this ribosomal RNA (253 nucleotides) under uncultured bacterium. RNAcentral's name for it is "partial 16S ribosomal RNA". It matches the Rfam family "Bacterial small subunit ribosomal RNA", at positions 524 to 776 of the family's 1533-position model. The record is from RNAcentral.